UGGGGAAUUUUGGACAAUGGGCGCAAGCCUGAUCCAGCAAUGCCGCGUGAGUGAAGAAGGCCUUCGGGUUGUAAAGCUCUUUUGUCAGGGAAGAAACGGCUCAGGCUAAUAUCCUGGGCUAAUGACGGUACCUGAAGAAUAAGCACCGGCUAACUACGUGCCAGCAGCCGCGGUAAUACGUAGGGUGCAAGCGUUAAUCGGAAUUACUGGGCGUAAAGCGUGCGCAGGCGGUUUUGUAAGUCUGUCGUGAAAGCCCCGGGCUUAACCUGGGAAUUGCGAUGGAGACUGCAAGGCUUGAAUCUGGCAGAGGGGGGUAGAAUUCCACGUGUAGCAGUGAAAUGCGUAGAGAUGUGGAGGAACACCGAUGGCGAAGGCAGCCCCCUGGGUCAAGAUUGACGCUCAUGCACGAAAGCGUGGGGAGCAAACA
This 427-nucleotide ribosomal RNA is filed under the name uncultured Massilia sp. Its description in RNAcentral is "bacterial SSU rRNA". It matches the Rfam family "Bacterial small subunit ribosomal RNA", at positions 355 to 774 of the family's 1533-position model. Lineage: Bacteria; Pseudomonadati; Pseudomonadota; Betaproteobacteria; Burkholderiales; Oxalobacteraceae. The record is from RNAcentral.